GACGAACGCUGGCGGCGUGCUUAACACAUGCAAGUCGAACGGAAAGGCCCUGCUUUUGUGGGGUGCUCGAGUGGCGAACGGGUGAGUAACACGUGAGUAACCUGCCCUUGACUUUGGGAUAACUUCAGGAAACUGGGGCUAAUACAGGAUAGGAGCUCCUGCUGCAUGGUGGGGGUUGGAAAGUUUCGGUGGUUGGGGAUGGACACGCGGCCUAUCAGCUUGUUGGUGGGGUAGUGGCUUACCAAGGCGUUGACGGGUAGCCGGCCUGAGAGGGUGACAGGCCACAUUGGGACUGGGAUGCGGCCAGGACUGCUACGGGAGGCAGCGGUGGGGAACAGUGCGAGAUGGGCGGAGGCCUGGUGGAGCAACGCCGCGUGGGGGAUGACGGCUGUCGGGUUGGAAACCGCGUGCGCCUGUGACGAAGCGUGAGUGACGGUAAUGGGUAAAGAAGCACCGGCUAACUACGUG
Molecule: ribosomal RNA, 468 nt
Filed under: uncultured bacterium
Lineage: Bacteria
Description: partial 16S ribosomal RNA
Rfam family: Bacterial small subunit ribosomal RNA
Source: RNAcentral